This 441-nucleotide ribosomal RNA is filed under the name uncultured bacterium. RNAcentral describes it as "partial 16S ribosomal RNA". It matches the Rfam family "Bacterial small subunit ribosomal RNA", at positions 338 to 795 of the family's 1533-position model. The record is from RNAcentral.
CCUACGGGGGGCAGCAGUGGGGAAUAUUGCACAAUGGGGGAAACCCUGAUGCAGCAACGCCGCGUGCGUGAGGAAGGAUUUCGGUAUGUAAAGCUCUAUUAGCAGGGAAUAGAAUAGCAGGUACCUGAUAAAGAAGCAACGGCUAACUACGUGCAAGCAGCCGAGGUAAUACGUAGGGGGCAAGCGUUUUCCGGAUGUACUGGGUGUAAAGGGAGCGUAGACGGAAAGCUAAGUCAGAAGUGAAAGCCCAAGGCUCAACCAUGGGACUGCUUUUGAAACUGUCAAACUAGAGUACAGGAGAGGUAAGAGGAAUGCCUAGUGUAGCGGUGAAAUGCGUAGAGAUUAGGAGGAACACCAGUGGCGAAGGCGGCUUACUGGACCGAAACUGACGUUGAGGCUCGAAAGCGUGGGGAGCAAACAGGAUUAGAUACCCUUGUAGUC